This 28-nucleotide non-coding RNA is filed under the name Cricetulus griseus (Chinese hamster). Lineage: Eukaryota; Metazoa; Chordata; Mammalia; Rodentia; Cricetidae. The record is from RNAcentral.
ACGGAAAGGAAACCAGACGCCAGAGCCU